Molecule: ribosomal RNA, 253 nt
Filed under: uncultured bacterium
Lineage: Bacteria
Description: partial 16S ribosomal RNA
Rfam family: Bacterial small subunit ribosomal RNA
Source: RNAcentral
UACGGAGGGUGCAAACGUUGCUCGGAAUUAUUGGGCGUAAAGCGCACGUAGGCGGUCCCUCAAGUCGGGUGUGAAAGCCCUCGGCUUAACCGAGGAAGUGCAUUCGAAACUAAGGGACUUGAAUACUGGAGAGGAUGGCGGAAUUCCCGGUGUAGAGGUGAAAUUCGUAGAUAUCGGGAGGAACACCAGCGGCGAAGGCGGCCAUCUGGACAGAUAUUGACGCUGAGGUGCGAAAGCGUGGGGAGCAAACAGG